GCAGUGCUGGUGAUCCGGCUCCAGCUGCUGCUGCUACUGCUGGCCAAGUGAGUGGCUCAGCAAUGUAUGACACUACAAAAACUGCAUUACAUCAGAGAUCUCCCAUUGCACCUGUAAAUGUACACUUGCCAGAAAAUAACCCUGGACAACAAUAUCCUACUUCUAAUGAACAGACUUCAGCUCUUCUGUUAUAGUGGCCUGCACUGCACUGAACUGAGCUCCAUUUUGUAAUUGACAGCAUGGAUCUGCUCUGGAGGUGAAGAAACACCAAGAAGGAUUGGUGGAUGCAGAACUCUAGGUCACUUGUUGAGAAGGUGCAAGGUAUUUUCUGAUUGAAACAGGACAUGGUAGAAAAAGAAAACAAGAUCUCCAGGUUUAGGUAGUUGAAGUUUGUUCUGGAGAGCUGAACAGUAUCCUUGCCUCUUCUACUGUCUUCCUGUGUGGUAAUGGGCAGACAUUUACC
Molecule: long non-coding RNA, 463 nt
Filed under: Chloebia gouldiae (Gouldian finch)
Lineage: Eukaryota; Metazoa; Chordata; Aves; Passeriformes; Passeridae
Description: Erythrura gouldiae (Gouldian finch) lncRNA (ENSEGOG00005001875.1)
Source: RNAcentral